This 403-nucleotide long non-coding RNA is filed under the name Oryza brachyantha (malo sina). RNAcentral's name for it is "long non-coding RNA (OBRA_LNC001176)". Lineage: Eukaryota; Viridiplantae; Streptophyta; Magnoliopsida; Poales; Poaceae. The record is from RNAcentral.
UUUCAGGAAUUUGCUUCUGCGUCAUGCGCAUGCAAUUUGACUUCAGAUAUGAUCAUCACAUGAUCCUGAAGCCCACUGCGUUUUAUUAAUGCAUUAAGCACUUGCCAUUGUAGAAAAUUCUGCCACAUGGUUUGUGAUUGCAAGCGAUACGUGGUUAUAUAUACAGCCACAAUGAGUGAUCUCAGCUUGAAGAGAACUCAACCUUACAUAGCUGUAGAGAGUUGACUAGCAGCUGCAAAGUGGUUAGUGGAAUAUACACGAUCAAAGUUUUAUUAUCGUGGCAUGAAUUGAGCCUGUGUACUUGGGAGGUUUCAAUAGUUUAUACAUCCAAGCUAGAUGAAUGAAAAUGACCUGUGGGCCUAAUCAGCGUGUGUUUUAGAAUUUGAAAAUACAACGUCACUAG